AGAGUUUGAUCAUGGCUCAGGAUGAACGCUAGCGGCAGGCCUAACACAUGCAAGUCGAGGGGUAACAUGGUCUUCGGACUGAUGACGACCGGCGCACGGGUGCGUAACGCGUAUGCAAUCUACCCUUAUCUGGAGAAUAGCCCGAAGAAAUUCGGAUUAAUGCUCCAUAGUAUUUAAAAGUGGCAUCACUUUAAAAUUAAAGCUUCGGCGGAUAAGGAUGAGCAUGCGUCCUAUUAGUUAGUUGGUGAGGUAACGGCUCACCAAGGCAGCGAUAGGUAGGGGGCCUGAGAGGGUGAUCCCCCACACUGGUACUGAGACACGGACCAGACUCCUACGGGAGGCAGCAGUGAGGAAUAUUGGUCAAUGGACGAAAGUCUGAACCAGCCAUGCCGCGUGCAGGACGACGGCCCUACGGGUUGUAAACUGCUUUUAUAUGGGAAUAAACCCUCGAACGUGUUCGAGGCUGAAGGUACCAUACGAAUAAGGAUCGGCUAACUCCGUGCCAGCAGCCGCGGUAAUACGGAGGAUCCAAGCGUUAUCCGGAUUCAUUGGGUUUAAAGGGUCCGCAGGCGGGAUACUAAGUCAGUGGUGAAAGCCUCCAGCUCAACUGGGGAACUGCCAUUGAUACUGGUAUUCUUGAGUAUAGUUGAAGUGGGCGGAAUGAGUCAUGUAGCGGUGAAAUGCAUAGAUAUGACUCAGAACACCGAUUGCGAAGGCAGCUCACUAAACUAUUACUGACGCUCAGGGACGAAAGCGUGGGGAGCAAACAGGAUUAGAUACCCUGGUAGUCCACGCUGUAAACUAUGAUCACUCGCUGUUGGCGAUAUACUGUCAGCGGCUUAGCGAAAGCAUUAAGUGAUCCACCUGGGGAGUACGCUCGCAAGAGUGAAACUCAAAGGAAUUG
This 904-nucleotide ribosomal RNA is filed under the name uncultured bacterium. RNAcentral describes it as "bacterial SSU rRNA". It matches the Rfam family "Bacterial small subunit ribosomal RNA", at positions 8 to 912 of the family's 1533-position model. The record is from RNAcentral.